Molecule: small RNA, 1673 nt
Filed under: Pongo abelii (Sumatran orangutan)
Lineage: Eukaryota; Metazoa; Chordata; Mammalia; Primates; Hominidae
Description: retained intron
Source: RNAcentral
GCACCUGCCACUACACCCAGCUAAUUUUGUAUUUUUAGUAGAGCCUGGGUUUCCCCAUGUUGGCCAGGCUGGUCUCAAACUCCUGAGCUCAACUGAUCCACCCUCCUUGGCCUCCCAAAAUGCAUACAGGCAUGAGCCACCAUGCCUGAUCUUGUAUAACUUUUACUGGGAAAUCUCUGCAAUUUAGAGACUAUCUGAACAUUUUUAAAUAGCCACAAUAGCUGAUUCUGUUUCAGUGAAGUCCCACAAGAACAAAUACUCUCUCAGUUAAUUCUUUCAAGGUAUUUUAGAAAAAGAGAGAGAGACAAGCAGGAAGGAAAUGUAGGUUUGGGGUUUUUUUCAUGAUUUAUACAUAAGCAUGUAUAUUCCUUGAUUAAAGAUGUUUCUGGUUAGUUUUGUGCAAUAACAUUCAAAAUGGAUGCUUCUGAUUGAUGUAGUUUUAGUGUCCAAUGAGUGAUUUAACAAAAUUAUUUGCCUAGUAAUGGUUUUGAAAAUAAUUUGAUCUCCUUCUUGGUGAUAUUUAAAGAAGGAGCUAAUAGGAGGAACAUUCACUUUUGUUAUGAAGCCAUUUUGAUAAGGAUUGAAACAGGAAACAGAGUAAAACAACACAGUGCUACCCAAGUGAAGCUAGUGACUGAGCUGUGUUCACAUGUCCAGUAUCAGCUAAACUCAUGGUUUUUUUGGUUUCCAUGGUUUCUUUUUCUUGGUUUAUCAAAGGAUUCAGAAAAAAGAUUUCAAGAAAAGAUAGAGUUCCUAGAAGCACCAUUAAUUUUUGUGUCCCAUUCUUUUUUUUAUACUCAAAAUACUAAAUGUUUGUAGUUUCCAUGUUUUGGGGACAUCCAAAUAUGCUAGUUAUUUCAAAAAUGCUUUGAGGUCCUUGGACAGAAGCCAUUGUAAUAGCACUGUACUAAAUAUUUGACAAAGGGCUUAUACAUGAAAGGAGAUGUGUAGUAUUAAUACAAACAUAAAAUACUGCUGUAUUGAUAUCAUGUCACGGUAAGGCACUCUGCACCCUCUUGAAUAUAAAAGAAUAUUUCUACAUUUGGUUCCAGCAAACACUAUUGUGCUAUUCUGAAAUCCACAGCACAGAAAUUAUAAGACAUCCGCUCAUAAACAGAAAGCAAAUCACUAUUCAGCAUUUCCUGCUCUGUUUCCUGCCAAUUUCAGAUAAUUAAAACUUUUUUUAAACCUUUUAUUCUAUUCUGCUUUAAUUCUGCUUCCUCCACCAAAAAAAAAGAUUUAGAAAUUAAAACUCUGUGUAUAUAAGUCACAGUCCUUUUUUUUUUCUUAUCGUGUGAUAAUAUCUCAUUCUUCAUUAUUGCAGACCUCAGGAUAUCAUUGUGUUUGUAAUUGGAGGAGCUACCUAUGAAGAGGCUCUAACAGUUUAUAACCUGAACCGCACCACUCCUGGAGUGAGGAUUGUCCUGGGAGGCACCACAGUGCACAACACGAAAAGUUUCCUAGAGGAAGUUCUGGCUUCUGGACUGCACAGCCGAAGCAAGGAGAGCUCUCAAGUCACAUCAAGGUCAGCGAGCAGAAGAUGAAACGGUGGUUGGGGGAAGAGCACAGCUUCCUCUCUUGCCCCCAGUACAGGCUUUCCCUACUAACCAGAGGUGUUGGAGAGCAGCUCUGGGUUCUGUGCUGGUUGUUAGAACUCAUCUCCAGGUAGCCCA